This is a long non-coding RNA of Pan troglodytes (chimpanzee), 3740 nucleotides long. RefSeq lists it as uncharacterized. Lineage: Eukaryota; Metazoa; Chordata; Mammalia; Primates; Hominidae. The record is from RefSeq and is a predicted model, not a curated record. The transcript is spliced from 2 exons.
CAAAUUGGGUUUGUCUGCUGUUUUCUCCUGAUUCAGCUUAGGGAAAACCACCACAGAUGAUGUGCCACUCACACAGCACCACAUCACAGGUUGUAAUCCAUUACUACUGUUGUCUAUCCUGUGGCUCGAACUGCUCCAGCUUUGGCCAAUGCAGCACUUUUUGACGGACAUCUACCCUUCUGAUAUCUGACAGGCUGCCAUCACUCACCUUUCGUUUGCCCUACCCCAACCCUGGAACCAACCCCUUCCCUGAGGAGCCCUUAGGAUCCACCAUCUCAGGCUGGCUCUGGUCACUGAUGCAGGUGUCACUGCUCUAAGGCCCUCUGUCGACAGACUUAGAAAACAGAUGUGUUACACUAACUCACACAUGCAUAGACCCACAUUUCUCUCUCUCUGAAAAAACCAACAGCCCUAGUUCAUGCUGACACCUCCAACCCUGAUCCAGAACCACAGGAUAACUCUAGCACCAUCCUUCCUUAUUUGUAACUUCUUCCUAGAAUACGUACAGUUUUGAGAUUGCUAACCCAUGCCCCUAUGAGAAACAAGUGCACUAACCAGAGGUUUUAUCUUUAGCCUUACAGCAUCCUGUCAAAACACUGUUUUCCAAAGUUACUGAUAGGUCAGCUAAUUCUACAUCCAUUUCACUAUGGUUAUGGCAGCAUUCCCUAACCGUUUUGGCACCAAGGACCAAUUUCUUAGAAGACAGUUUUUCCACAGACUGGGGCGAGGAGGGGGGAUGGUUUCAGGAUGAAACUGUGCCACCUCAGAUCAUCACUCUAACAUCAUAGUUAGAGUCUCAAAAGGAGUGAGUGAGCAACCUAGAUCAUUCACAUGCACAGUUCACAACAGGGUUCAUGCUCCUAUGAGAAUCUAAUGCUGCUGCUGACCUGACAGGAGGCAGAGCUCAGGCAGUAAUGCUUGCCUGCCCUCUGCUCACCUCCUGCUCUGUGGCCCAGGUCCUAACAGGCUACGGACAGGUACCGAUCCGUGGCCUAGGGGUUGGGGACCCCGGAUUAUGGGAUAAGUUUGUAAUACCAUUUGAUUCAUCUGUCACAGUUUGUAUCACUUGGGCACUCCCCCCAGUAACACACACACAAACAUCUUUGUUGAUUUUAGUGAAAUUUUGUGGUGCACAGUUCCAUGGGUUUUGACAGGUGCACAGUCAAAUCUAACACAGUCCCAUCACUCCCCAAACUGCCUCUCACUCUCUUUGUAAUCAACUCCUUUUCCCCAACUCUUAACCCCUGGCAACCACUGAUUUGUUCUUCUUCCUUAUGGUUGUGCUUUUUCUAGAGCAUCCUUUAAAUAGAAUCAUACAAUAUGGAGGCCUUUUAGGUUUGGUUUCUUUCACUAAACAAAAUGAAUUUAAGAUUCAUCCAUGUUGUGGGAAUUAAUAGUUUGUUCCUUUUGACUUUUGAGUGGUAUUCUGCUGUAGAGAUGUUACCACAAUUUGUUUAUUCAUUCACCAGUUGAAGGAUAUCUGAUUUUGAGUGUUGGCAAUUACUGAAUAAAACUCUAUUAACAGUCACAUGCAGGUUUUGUGUGAGCAUGAAUUUUCACUUACCUUGGGUAAGCACCUAGGAGUGAGACUGCCAGGUCCUAAGGCAGUGUAACACAGUAAGAAGCUGCCACACUGUUUUCCAGAGUGGCUGUGCCAUUCUGCAUUCCCAGUAGCAGGGUUGGAGAGCAUAUUCCUGCCAGCACUUGGCACUGUCCUUGCCAGCACUGGGAUGCUUCGUGAUUGUUCUUUCAUCUUAGCUACUGAUGUAGGCCUGUGCUGGUACCUUAUGAAGAAGGUGCACAGCCUUCCAAAUCACCUAGGCCCACUGUGGCAGUCUCAUUCCCCAGAACAUACUGUUAUAUCUCUAGCUGGUCAGCUGCUUGCCCCAAAUGGUACUGUGGCCUUAGGCUAGGUGCAGUGUUUACCUUCCGGAUUGCUUGCAUUUGUUUCCCUAACAAUAAAUUAUGUUGGGCAUCACAGGCUUAUUUUUCUCUGCUUAUUUGCAUGGGCUUCUCUGCAAUCCAUGCAAGUUGUUUGGUGAAGUACAGGUUCACCAAAACUAUUCCCCAAUUUUUUACUGGGUUGUUUUCUUAUUGUUGAGUUUUAAGUGUUCUUUAUUAUUCUGGAUACUAACCCUUUGUCAGAUAUGUGACUUACAAAUGUGUUCUCUGAGAGUAGAAUUUUAAAAUUUUGAUAAAAUGCAAAUUAUAGAUUUUUUUCUUUUAUGGAUUGUGCUUUUGGUAUCAUAUCUAAAAACUCUGCCCAAGAUCAUGCAGACUUUCCUUUGGGUUUCUUCCAUAAGUUCUACAGUUUUACAUUCUACAUUUAGGUAUAUGAUCCAUUUUGAGUUCAUUUUUGUAUAAAAUGUGAGCUGUACAGGUUAUUUAUUUAUUUAUUUUUGCAUAUACACUCUAGUUUUCUAGUCCAUUUGUUGACAAGAUUACACUUUCUCCAUGGAAUAUAUUAAGAGGUGCCUUUACACCAGUCAAAAAUAAACCAACCAUAUCUGUAUGGACUUAUCUGGGGUCCUCUGUUCUGUUCCACUGACCUGUGUAUCUAUCUUUUCACCAAUACCACAUACCACUCUCUUGAUUGUGGUGAUUUUACAUUUUAUAGUAAAUCUUGUUCUUUUUUCUUUUUCAGAUGGAGUUUUGCUCUUGUUGCCCAGGCUAGAGUGCAAUGACAGGAUCUCUGCUCACCGCAACCUCCACCUCCCAGGUUCAAGUGAUUCUCCUGACUCAGCUUCCUGAGUAGCUGGGAUUACAGGCACCUGUCACCAUGCCCGGCUAAUUUUUUUUUUUUUUUUUUUUUUUUUUUUUUUGUAUUUUUAGUAGAGACAGGUUUUCACCAUGUUGGCCGGGCUGGUCUUGAACUCCUGACCUCAGGUGAUCUGCCCGCCUUGGCCUCCCAAAGUGUUGGGAUUACAGGCCUGAGCCACCACGCCCAGCCGUUGCUCUGCCUUUCUAAUGAUGACUUUAGGUAUCAGUUUUUAAUAUAAAGUUUAUCUUUUUUUUCUUUCACAGCUUGUGGUUUUUGUGUGGUAAGCAAUCUGCCUACUUUACAUUGUGAAAAUAUUGUUUUCUUCUUAAAACUUUACAGUUUUAGCCUUUUACAGUUCAUUCUACAAUCCAUCUAAAAUUAAUGCUAUGUCCACAGUAAGAGUGAGUAGUAGAGUUUCAUUUUUCCUUGCAUGUUUAUCCAGUUGAAAAAAUCUUUCCCUUCCCAAUUGAACUAUGUUGGUUGAAAAAACUUUGAUUUCUCCUGUUGUUGCACUGUGCAUCCUAGUGUUUUGUAAAUUAACUAUUCUUAUCUUCUUAGUUUUUUAUAAGUGUAAACAGGGGAAAUAUAAUUAUAAUUUCUUUUAAAAGAGCUCUCUUACUUAAUAAAGAAACAGGCUGGGCAUGGUGGCUCACGCAUGUAAUCCCAGCACUUUGGGAGGCUGAGGCGGGUGCAUCACCUGAGGUCAGGAGAUCAAGACCAUUCUGGUCAAUAUGCCAAAACCCUGUUUCUACUAAAAAUACAAAAAUUAGCCAGGUGUGGUGGUGGGUGCCUGUAGUCCCAGCUGCUCAGGAGGCUGAGGCAGGAGAAUUGCUUGAACCCAGGAGGCACAGGUUGCAGUGAGCCGAGAUCACGCCACUGCACUCCAGCCUGGGUGACAGAGCAAGACUCCAUCUUGAAAAAAAAGAACAAACGAACGAACAAAAGAAAGGACAGGAAAGGGAAAGGAAAAGAAAUAAAA